This 944-nucleotide ribosomal RNA is filed under the name uncultured archaeon. RNAcentral describes it as "bacterial SSU rRNA". It matches the Rfam family "Archaeal small subunit ribosomal RNA", at positions 1 to 921 of the family's 1478-position model. The record is from RNAcentral.
UUCCGGUUGAUCCUGCCGGACCCUACUGCUAUCGGGGUGGGGCUAAGACAUGCAAGUCGUGCGUCUCUAGGCCAUGGUAGAGACGCGGCAUACGGCUCAGUAACACGUGGCUAACCUGCCCUUAGGACAGGGCCAACCCCGGGAAACUGGGGCCUAUCCCUGAUAGGUGAGGAUGCCUGGAAUGGUUCUUCGCUGAAAGGGCGUUGAGACCAUGCUUCUCAGCGUUGCCUAAGGAUGGGGCCGCGCCCGAUCAGGUUGUUGGUGAGGUAACGGCUCACCAAGCCUAUAACCGGUACGGGCCGUGAGAGCGGGAGCCCGGAGAUGGGCACUGAGAUAAGGGCCCAGGCCCUACGGGGCGCAGCAGUCGCGAAAACUCCGCAAUGCGCGAAAGCGUGACGGGGCUACCCCGAGUGCCGUCCGCUGAGGAUGGCUUUUCCCCGGUGUAAUGAGCCGGGGGAAUAAGGAGAGGGCAAGUCUGGUGUCAGCCGCCGCGGUAAUACCAGCUCUCCGAGUGGUAGGGACGAUUAUUGGGCUUAAAGCGUCCGUAGCCGGCUUAGCAAGUCUCCCGUUAAAUUCAGCGACCUAAUCGUUGGGCUGCGGGAGAUACUGUUAGGCUAGGAGGCGGGAGAGGCCGACGGUAUUCUCGGGGUAGGGGUGAAAUCCUAUAAUCCCGGGAGGACCACCAGUGGCGAAGGCUGUCGGCUAGAACGCGCUCGACGGUGAGGGACGAAAGCUGGGGGAGCGAACCGGAUUAGAUACCCGGGUAGUCCCAGCUGUAAACGAUGCGGGCUAGGUGUUGGGGUGGCUACGAGCCACUUCAGUGCCGCAGGGAAGCCAUUAAGCCCGCCGCCUGGGGAGUACGGCCGCAAGGCUGAAACUUAAAGGAAUUGGCGGGGGAGCACCACAAGGCGUCCUCCUUUGAUUUUAAUUGGAGUCAACGCCGG